This is a long non-coding RNA of Thalassophryne amazonica, 249 nucleotides long. RefSeq lists it as uncharacterized. Lineage: Eukaryota; Metazoa; Chordata; Actinopteri; Batrachoidiformes; Batrachoididae. The transcript has 3 exons. The record is from RefSeq and is a predicted model, not a curated record.
UUCGUAUCCAGACCCAUCCAGGCUACGCCAACACCCUCAGAGAUGUGGCUCCCAAGAUGUUUGCAGAGGAGGGCCUCUGGGCUUUCUAAAAGGGUGUGAUGCCGCUGUGGAUGAGGCAGAUUCCCUACACCAUGACAAAGUUUGGCUGUUUCAAGUGGACCGUGGAGACGCUCUACAAAUACGUUGUUCUAAAACCUCGCAGCGAGUGCAGCAAACCCGAGCAGCUGGUAGUCACAUUUGUGGCCGGAG